Molecule: ribosomal RNA, 444 nt
Filed under: uncultured bacterium
Lineage: Bacteria
Description: SSU rRNA
Rfam family: Bacterial small subunit ribosomal RNA
Source: RNAcentral
AGAGCGAACGCUGGCGGCAGGCCUAACACAUGCAAGUCGAGCGCCCCGCAAGGGGAGCGGCAGACGGGAGAGUAACACGUGGGAACGUACCCUUUGGUUCGGAACAACACAGGGAAACUUGUGCUAAUACCGGAUAAGCCCUUACGGGGAAAGAUUUAUUGCCAAAGGAUCGGCCCGCGUCUGAUUAGCUUGUUGGUGAGGUAACGGCUCACCAAGGCUACGAUCAGUAGCUGGUCUGAGAGGAUGAUCAGCCUCACUGGGACUGAGACACGGCCCAGACUCCUACGGGAGGCAGCAGUGGGGAAUAUUGGACAAUGGGCGCAAGCCUGAUCCAGCCAUGCCGCGUGGAUGAUGAAGGCCCUAGGGUUGUAAAGUCCUUUCGGACGGGGAAGAUAAUGACGGUACCCGUAGAAGAAGCCCGGCUAACUUCGCGCCAGCAGCCGC